CUACGGGGUGCUGCAGUGGGGAAUAUUGCACAAUGGAGGAAACUCUGAUGCAGCAACGCCGCGUGGAGGAUGACACUUUUCGGAGCGUAAACUCCUUUUAUAUAGGAAGAAGAUGACGGUACUAUAUGAAUAAGCGCCGGCUAACUCCGUGCCAGCAGCCGCGGUAAUACGGAGGGCGCAAGCGUUACUCGGAAUCACUGGUCGUAAAGAGCGUGUAGGCGGAUUAAAAAGUCAGAAGUGAAAUCCUAUAGCUUAACUAUAGAACUGCUUCUGAAACUCUUAAUCUAGAAUAUGGGAGAGGUAGAUGGAAUUUCUGGUGUAGGGGUAAAAUCCGUAGAGAUCAGAAGGAAUACCGAUUGCGAAGGCGAUCUACUAGAACAUUAUUGACGCUGAGACGCGAAAGCGUGGGGAGCAAACAGGAUUAGAUACCCGGGUAGUC
This 439-nucleotide ribosomal RNA is filed under the name uncultured bacterium. RNAcentral's name for it is "partial 16S ribosomal RNA". It matches the Rfam family "Bacterial small subunit ribosomal RNA", at positions 339 to 795 of the family's 1533-position model. The record is from RNAcentral.